AAAGGAAUAGACGGGGGCCCGCACAAGCAGCGGAGCAUGUGGUUUAAUUCGAGGCAACGCGAAGAACCUUACCUGGACUUGACAUCUCCUGAAUUACCCUUAAUCGGGGAAGCCCUUCGGGGCAGGAAGACAGGUGGUGCAUGGUUGUCGUCAGCUCGUGUCGUGAGAUGUUGGGUUAAGUCCCGCAACGAGCGCAACCCCUAUUGUCAGUUGCUACCAUUCAGUUGAGCACUCUGGCAAGACUGCCCGGGUUAACCGGGAGGAAGGUGGGGAUGACGUCAAAUCAUCAUGCCCCUUACGUCCAGGGCUACACACGUGCUACAAUGGCAGGUACAAAGAGCAGCGAACUCGCGAGAGCCAGCCAAUCUCAUAAAACCUGCCCCAGUUCAGAUUGCAGGCUGCAACUCGCCUGCAUGAAGUCGGAGUUGCUAGUAAUCGCGAAUCAGCAUGUCGCGGUGAAUACGUUCCCGGGCCUUGUACACACCGCCCGU
Molecule: ribosomal RNA, 491 nt
Filed under: uncultured bacterium
Lineage: Bacteria
Description: bacterial SSU rRNA
Rfam family: Bacterial small subunit ribosomal RNA
Source: RNAcentral